RNAcentral lists this ribosomal RNA (555 nucleotides) under Triticum aestivum (bread wheat). RNAcentral's name for it is "partial small subunit ribosomal RNA". The record is from RNAcentral. Lineage: Eukaryota; Viridiplantae; Streptophyta; Magnoliopsida; Poales; Poaceae.
AUGGCCGAAUGCUUCAAUAGGGUGCUCAAAGGUGCACGUGGAUUACCCGUGACGGCAAUAGUUCAAUACACAUUUGACAAGAUGAAUGUGUACUUUGUAAAGUACUCGAUGGAAACAGAUGCACAGAUAGCGGGUGAGAACCCGCACAAGUACAAGUACAAGUUCCCACCCAAAGUUGAUGAAUGGUUGGUAUUUCAAUCACGGAAGGCGGACUCAGAAGAAGCUAUAUUAUAUGACAACGAAGAGUGGAAGUACGAAGUGAAAGAGCCAGGAGAAACCACAAACGAUGGCCGGCAACAUGGAGGUCGGGCUUUCAAGGUGUCGUUAACACAAUGUGAUUGCACUUGCGGGAGGCCAUUGUUGCUUCAUCUCCCAUGCUCACACUUGUAUACCGCCGGUCGCGUUAGGAAUGUGGACAUCAAUCACCCACGCACCAUGAGGGAGUCGGAGUUCUCAAUCAUGACGGUCAAGAAAACAUGGGCUCCCCGCUUUCACCCGUACUUUGACCAAUCACAAUGGCCGGAGUAUCAUGAAGUUCAACUAUGGCCGGAUCCG